This is a long non-coding RNA of Crotalus tigris (Tiger rattlesnake), 1106 nucleotides long. RefSeq lists it as uncharacterized. The record is from RefSeq and is a predicted model, not a curated record. Lineage: Eukaryota; Metazoa; Chordata; Lepidosauria; Squamata; Viperidae. The transcript is spliced from 4 exons.
GCGGAGAUGAAACCGGUCUUUCAAACCGGCGUGGAGCAAUGGCAGCAGCCCAAGAGGGAGUGAAAAUUGAACCGACAGUUUUGUAACAGGAGACGAGGAAACCCCUGAAGGAGGAGAAAAAAACAACAACUGUGCCUGAUUUCUGGCGUGCUCCCUGGGUGUGAAGCCCAAAGGUGACUUCUUCGGCUUCUAGACAUCUUUAAGGCAGGAGUGCAACUUUUGAAAAGUGAUGCCUCCAAAUUUCAUUGACAUCUCUUCAUGAUCAACAAUGUAAAAAGCCACCAAAAGAGGAGAAAAAAACAACAACUGUGCCUGAUUUCUGGCAUGCUCCUUGGAUGUGAAGCCCAAAGGUGACUUCUUCGGCUUCUGUACGGAAGUAAAAGAAUUUUAUCUUUCUUUAAUCCUGUGAGAGCAUUGGCUUCUUCACACUGGAUUCCUGCACCUAGCCAGCCUUCUGGCCAAUCCUGCUAAUACACCUUAUUUUCCCUUCUUUCUUCAGAAGUCUCUAAAUAAUAAUAAAAAAAAAUCUGAGAAUUCUACUGAUUUCAGUGAACUGAUAUAUCUUAAGCUGAUAUUGUCAUGUUUCUUGUUCCACUUAACACAGUUGAUUUUCACGUUUUGUAAAUUAUACUUUCUGAAAAUCUUUCCAAUUGCUAUCCUUCUGUGAUUCCAGGGUGUCUUCUUCGUGUGUUGAAACCACUACUGUUUCUUACAGCUAGUCCUUGACUUAUGACAAUUUGUUCAGCAACCAUUUGAAAUAACAAUGGAGCUGAACAAAGAGACUUAAUGACCUCUCUCUGAAAUUCUGUUUGUUGCAGUAUCCCUGUAGGUAGUCAUCAAAAUUUGGGUGCUUGGCAGCACGCCUGCCUUUACAACUGUGGGAGUCCUGCAACUCUCACUCCAUCCAUGGGCUGGGACACAUUGGCUAGCUAAGCCUAGCAGCUUGUGUAAUUAUGGCUAAAAAAACAACAACACUGAAAUGCUUGGUUUACCUCAUAGUGAACUGCUUAUGACUUGACAAAUUCAGAACCAACAACAGUAUUUAAUUUACAGAUGUGGAAUGGUAUAAUAUUAUAUAUGCUUCAGUCUUUUGAAUUCUAAAGCCC